Molecule: long non-coding RNA, 723 nt
Organism: Brassica oleracea var. oleracea
Lineage: Eukaryota; Viridiplantae; Streptophyta; Magnoliopsida; Brassicales; Brassicaceae
Exons: 2
Source: RefSeq, a predicted model, not a curated record
UGCAUUUAUGGAUACUAUUUAACUAAAUCACAAUAGACGAACUAACCAAUCACAUACUGUAUUGUCUUAUUUGACUGUAAACCCUAUACGGCGACGAUGAGAGCGACUUUCACGAAGAAAUGAAGAAACGACAAAUUCACGAGAUCAAUACAAUUAAUCAAAGAGGUUUUAGAAGUAGAGGAGCUAAAUCAAUGGAGUUUUGAGGUCAAUAAUCGUGGAACACUCAAAGAUCUGAAAUCAUUUGCGAUAAAAGGGAUCUCCAUUCACGUUUCUAGAUUUUUUCAUCAAAUCAUCGAGGGUUCGUUACUCAACACACAAGGGGUUAUGGGAUCUCGCCUAAAAUCCUGAGAGAUCUAUUGUGAUUCCCCUUAAUCCUUGUACGAUAUCAACAUCAAAUAUCCUAUCUACAAGACUUUGGAAUAACAAAUUUGAUGUACAAGGAUGGAAAUAUGUUGGUCUAUAUUCUAUGGCAUGGUUCUGGAUUAUGGUAACCUUUUCAGACAGCAUGCCUCGCAAGGAAAAGGACUGUGGAUUGCAAAAAUAUUUGUUUUACACCAUGGGUGGAUUUUUGUCUUUCAUUGUCGCAAGGUUUUGCGCGUUUUGGAUAUAAACGCUGUAUGUUAUUUUACACAGUUUGUUAGUCAAAAAUGUAACUAGCUAUACGGAUAUUAGUUAUUGUGUAAAAAAGAAAUCAGUAGUAUGGAUCACUAUGUUCUCAGGUCA